GGCCUUAAGAGCAAAUCCUACAAUUGCUCAACUGAAGCAACAUAGUGAGGAGGUUGCAAAAAAGUUCAAAGCCUUGUCUUGUAUCCAGUCGGCUGUGUCUGAUGGAAUAUUCACCAGGAUAAUAACCUGUGAAUCAGCAAAGGAGGCCUGGGACAGGUUGCAGGAGGAGUUCAGAGGCAAUGCAAGAACAAGACAAAUGCAAGUCUUGAACUUAAGAAGAGAAUACGAAGGCCUGAAGAUGAAGGACACUGAAUCUGUCAAAGACUAUGCUGAUAGACUGAUGAAGGUUGUGAACAAAAUAAGGUUGUUAGGAGAUGACCUUCCUGAUAGGAGAAUAGUGGAAAAGGUUUUGAUAAGCUUACCAGAAAAAUUUGAGGCUAAGAUAUCAUCUCUUGAAGACUCAAGAGAUCUUUCCACUAUAACUCUAGCUGAAUUGAUAAAUGCUCUCCAUGCCACUGAACAGAGGAGGCAGCUGAGGCAAGAAGAAGAACAGGUCGAAGGAGCUUUGUUUGCAAAAG
This 518-nucleotide long non-coding RNA is filed under the name Olea europaea (common olive). RNAcentral's name for it is "long non-coding RNA (OEUR_LNC011774)". Lineage: Eukaryota; Viridiplantae; Streptophyta; Magnoliopsida; Lamiales; Oleaceae. The record is from RNAcentral.